UAACAGUUUUUGGUGACACACAUGAUGGCAACAAUGAACACUUUGUGGCACGAUGACCUCUAUGAAAAAGAGAGAUAUACAGGUUUUGCUUUUGUUCACUCAACUAAUUACCAACCUUUCAUUAUACCUCUACUCGGACAUCUAAACUUCAGUUAAGCUCUAUGUUUAAGUGGGAUGGAUCUUCAAUUUGCCUACCUAAGGAUUUGAAGUCAGGUUUACAGAGGCAUCAUUUUACAAUUAUCAACUUUGAUAAAUGCAGAUUGUCAUGGAACUACCACCAGAAUCCAGAUAGAGAACAUGCUAUCAUCCCUGUUAUAUCCCUUUGUGGCUAAUCUACCACACUGUUCCAUCCACCAAAGUCCCUAGAAGCCACUGAUCUGUUUUAUGUCCCUCUGGUUUUGUCUUUUUCAAAGUCUGAAAUAAAUGGAAUUGUGGAGUGUGUA
Pan troglodytes (chimpanzee) is the source of this 443-nucleotide long non-coding RNA. RefSeq lists it as uncharacterized. The record is from RefSeq and is a predicted model, not a curated record. Lineage: Eukaryota; Metazoa; Chordata; Mammalia; Primates; Hominidae. The transcript has 2 exons.